GGGUGCGCACGGGCCCUGUGAGCGAUCGCGGUGGGCUUGGGCUGGUGACGCGUGCGCCGGCCGGCCGCCGAGGGGCUACCGUUCUGCCUCCGACCGGUCGUGUGUGGGUUUACUCGGAGAAAUACUAGGCUUUAGAAUUUCACCAUAUGAAUUUUGGGAGAGAGGAGCACAGUUCAGCCCAUAACUAACACACGACGGAAUGAAGUUGAUAAUAGUGAGACCUUGUUGGUACAAGACUAUGUAACAUAACCUGCGCUUCUCAACAAAGAAUUGCUUUUCUGACUUCUGCACUCAAUAGCAAGACAAAUCUCUCCUCUGCCUUCUCCUUAUCAGACUACUCAACAUGAAGGCAAUAAGAAUGAAGACCUCUAUGUAUAAUAAUUGACUUCCACUUAAUAAAUACCUGAACAGAUGUUGAGUACAAGCUGAUCCACCUACGUUCAACCUGAGAGAGUCCACAUCCACAGACUGUUUCAUUUCCCUUUUUCAAUUUACAUAGAAGCAUAGAUUCUUGCUGGCAUAUACAAAUGCGCCAUUUAAGGCAAUCAAAAAUGGUUCCACAUCUCAUCUGAUUUCCACAAUUGUUGCUGUAACGAUGGACUACUGAGGAGAGAGACAAUUUCUCUGGCACAUCUUCCCACAUUUUAGCAACAUGUUCAUGGAGAGCCAAUAUUCAGUAAUUACAGCCCAAUUCCUCACAAUUUCACAAUUCGCUAACAAUAUGCAUUUUCACAAUGUAAAGCUGAUUUUCCUUUAACCAAAUCAAACAUGAAAAGAUAGCUGCAUGCAAUGGGCAAUCUAGAUCAUUAGAAGAUUGAUGUAAAAUUAGAGGACACUGAGACUGGAAUAGAUUGCAAACUUCAGGGAGCUCAGAAAACUUGUAAACUCUACAUUUUGAGGAAAUAUGUUGUCGAUGCUUUUGCAACUCUAUGCAGUAACUUAACAAAUAAAGCCUUAAAGUAACUUA
This 967-nucleotide long non-coding RNA is filed under the name Homo sapiens (human). RNAcentral's name for it is "MIR663A host gene". Lineage: Eukaryota; Metazoa; Chordata; Mammalia; Primates; Hominidae. The record is from RNAcentral.